RNAcentral lists this unclassified non-coding RNA (6927 nucleotides) under Hevea brasiliensis (rubber tree). The record is from RNAcentral. Lineage: Eukaryota; Viridiplantae; Streptophyta; Magnoliopsida; Malpighiales; Euphorbiaceae.
GAUCAAAAUAAUUUGUAAUAGCUUUCUUUUUUCUAUUGCCUUACAAAACUUCUUAAUUAUUGGCUUAUUGCCUGUACAACAUAGUAUGAAGGGCAGGAGUCAAAAUCAGACUAUUAUUGCUCCGCCUUGUGGAGAACAAAAAAGAAUGAAAGAAUUUCAAAACCGUUAUACCUCCCCAGUAACCUGUACAAAACCUAUUCAUCUAUAAAACAAUUAAAGAAAGAUUUACAGAGAUAUAUACACCAUGUACUGGUUAGUCUUCCAGGCGUUGUAUCUCACCCAUCAUGAUACGGUUGCUGGAAACCUUGAAGCCAAGAAGAGCAGGAUCUAUCUGCCUUCCCUUCUUUCCUUUCUUUUUCGCACUUUGUGCUGCUUGUGAACCAUCAGAUGACUCCAGAGCAGCCACAUUAGCUGCAUCAGCCUCAGAAAGAACUGAUUUUUUAAGCACAUCUAUAAAUGAUGUCUCUGACACAGUAGCAUCACUGUAAGAAGAGGUCCUCCUAAAACGCAUUUCUUUCUUCCCAGAUGCCUGCAUUUCACCAACCGAGGCUGCUGCUACAUUCCCCUCAGACAAAUGCCUUUUUUCAUUAGAAGUUGGAAGGUUCAUUGUGCUUCUCUGCUUGACAUUUGAAGCGGAGGCCAAGUCUGGCAAACCAUCCUCGGAAGAUAAUCCCCGUGAUACGGGCAGACGUUUAUGUAAAGUAUUAUCAACCCCUUUGGUUGGUAUAGAAGGUACACUAUCAUUAGAAACCUCAUCUCCAGAUGAUAAAUUAUUGCCCAUCUCAUAACUGUAUAAGCAUCGAUUUACACCAGCACUGCUCAGCGAACUGUGCCUGUCUGGUAUCCUCUCAAAAUCCAUUGCAGCUUCCACUUGCUCAACCAAGUUGUCUUCAAUUUGGGAAACUGACCUGCCCAUUGAAAUCAUGGCUUCAGACCCAUACAUACUUCGCUUUCUUUCCAGUUCUGGCAAGUCUUUGUCCAGAGUUGAUUUACCAAUAAAUCUGGCAUCUGCAUAACUAGUGUGAGGAGGAUCUCUUGCACCUGACAAGAUUGUCUGUUCUUCAAUUAGUGCUCCAGAUUUAGACCUAGAGAGCAAUCUUUCACCAUUUUGACCAGUCAAAGCUGCACUAACCAGAUUAUCAUGCAAUAAAGAAGAUGUAUUCAAAUUUUGUGGCCCUUUCAUAAAUGAAAGGUUCAUAGCAGUUUCUUAGUCUAGGAUGUGAUUGAGAGGAAGAUUUGAAGAUCGCGGCUCCUUGAUUGGCCACAAGGAAUCCUGAGGUGCAGAAGAUGGUAUAAGAUGUUGAUAAUUAUUUUCUGAUGAUUGAAUACCCAUUUUUCGGUGAUCCAUCAAAAGUCUCUUCAAGUUUUCCUCGUCACCUCCAGCUGGUGCCCAAAUAAUAGAGUUUGUCGCAACUUCUGAAAACUUACUCUGCUGCUGAGUUUCAAAAUGCAAUUGUUGCAUCCCUCCUUCAAUCCAACUCUUCUCCAACUGCCCAUUUUUUCCAGUAUGGUACCCAAUUGCUUGUUGGUGAGAACCAUAAAAAUCAUCUGAAAUUUGCUGACACAGGAAAGGAUUACCAGAAGAGGCAGAACCUAGUUGGUCAGCAGGCUGCAUAUAGAGAUGUUCUGUUAAAUCAGGAUCUUGAGGAUGAUCAUUUACAUUAUCCAACUUCAUCCCAGGGGUGACACCAGGAAGAGACAUUGAACUCUCAAAUUCCAUAGAGCUAGGUUCAUAAAGCCCAUGCUGAUAUCGCUCCUGUAAAGCAUGUUUCCACUUAAGAUGGCUUAGAUGCUCCUCUUGUGAGGAAAGCCUCUGCUGCUGGUAGAAAUCUGAAGCAUUAAAUCCUAAAGACACAGACUGGUGAAGAACAUCAGAAUUCUGAGAAAGCUGACGAGCUUCACCAACAGACCAUGGCCCAUUGAAAUGUCCUUCCACCUCCAUUCCUAACUGCUGUUUCAGUGCCAAAGAUAAUUGUUGUGCCUGCAACCGUUCUUCCUGAAAAUGAAACUGGUUGGAAGGGAGUACAUUUCCAUGUUUUUCCUGUAAUAGGUCUAAGAAAUCAGCCUGUGGUUCUUGAAGAGAAUUCAAUCCAACCUUAGCUCGGAUUAUUUGCUCCAGUGAUGGAUCAAGGUGUCUAGAAGGAUGAGAACUCUGUUGCAGUUCUGGCAGCUGCAUUCUGAACUGAACUUGAUCAAGCAAGUUCUCCAUCAGAGGAUCCACUUUUGACCGUCUAUAACCAAGAUCAGACAUCUGAUGCUGCAGCAUACGCUCAAGAACCAACUGCUGUUGUUGUUUUUCUUGCUGCUGUAGCAGCAACUCCAUUUGCUGGUGACGAAGUUGCUGCUGGAGUAACUGCUGCUGCUUUUGAAGUUCCAGUUGCCACUGCCGCUGUUGAAACUCCAACUGCCGCUGCUGCUGUUGAAACUCUAAUUGACGCUGCUGUUGAAACUCUAAUUGACGCUGCUGCUGAAGCUCCAACUGCCGCUGCCUCUGAAUCUCCAACUGCCGUUGCAGCUGGAGCUCCAAUUGUCGUUGCCGCUGCUGAAUCUCCAACUGCCGUUGCUGCUGCUGAACCUCCAAGUGCCACUGCUGUUGUUGAAGCUCCAAUCUCUGUUGUUGUUGAAGCUCUAAUUGCUGCUGUUGUUGAAACUGCAGUUUCAAAAAAUUAGAAGGAAUUUCUUCAAUGCCCAAUCUGGUGCCAUGUGAGAGGGAAUGUGUAGAUAAAUUAUUCUGUGGCUGAACUUGUUCUUUUUGCAAAUUCUGUAAAAUAAGGUGCUGCAGGUCAAAAUCACUGAAGUCUUGCUCCCUGUGAGAUAAGUGAACAUCUUUUGAAUCCAUAUGAAUGCUAGGGUUAGUGAGAGUAUUUUUGCUAUAAUCAUCAGACCAUGUCUCCAUAUAAGGAGGUUGAUCAACCACUGCACCAAAAGAGCUCUGAUUGCAGAAAGCAAUAGCUCCUUCUGAGCAAGGAUCUAUAGUUUGACCCUGAUCACCCAUGCCUGAAGAUAUAUUUGAUGAUUGAACACGCCUCAGCUGAGAGUUACCUAUGAGCUCAGACAUCAAUAGGCCAAAUGGAUGCGGAUUCUCAUCCUGAUGAGUUCCUAAGAAUUCACUCGCAAGGGAAGGGUCACUAGAAGGAUUAGAAACCGAAUUUGGAAUGUCUGCAGCAAGCUUCAUCGAAGGGUUACCACUGUUACUUCCAGGCCUUCCAGGAAGAACUUCUUCAUCCCGAGUGACAAAAUGUUCCAAUCUUUGAUCAUCAGAGCACUUCAUCCCAGAGCGAAAACUGUUAUUGUAAACACUUGACUGACCAAUAACAUUCGAGGGAUCCUCAAAUCUAGAUGAAGCUGAUGAAGCCUGUUGUUGGUCUGCUCUAACAGCAGAACUACCUUCAAAGUCAGUAGCAAAAGCAAGAGGUAUACUCUCUUCCAAGCUGCCUCCAACAGUAUCAGAUAACUUACUGGUGCUAGAAACAGAUCCAAGUUUAACUUUUAGAUGUGGCAUAACUUCACCAAGUUCAAGAAAAGGUGAUCCAUCAGGAGCAUCUGACAAGCAAACAGGUAGAUCAGUUCCAAAAUACCCUUGCUCAAACCAUGUGACAAUAUCAAUCCCCAGAUAUGGCCCCUGUAUCACCCCUUGAGGAUCAAGAUAGCACAAAGAUAGCUCCUCAGGAAUGACAACACUUCUCAAUAGGUGUACCUCAUCAUUGCUCUUUAAAGCAAAUUGAUUAUCACUUUGACUUUGCUGUCCAGAUGGAAAAUCAAAUAGAGAACUCGGGUCAUCAGGAAGCUGACUACCAAUUUCAAAAGAAGUAGCUGACUUGAUAUGUUCCGACUCUAGAUGGUUCAUAUUAGCCAAAUCUGCCACUUGCUGGUUAUCAAGAGUUUUCAAUUCCACAAUAUUGUUACUGGGGCCAAUCUCCUGGGAACUACUGGAAUUCUCUUUCUUUGGAACAGCAGGCAUCAAGCCAUCACUCAAAGCUCUACCAAUUGCUGUUCUAAGCUUCUCUUUGCCUUCUUUUGAAGAAUAUACCUCCUCCAUUAUAGAUGUAUCUGACACGUCAGCUCCACUACCAUCAUCAGAAUCAUUAACAGCAAACUUUCUAAAAGAUUCAAAAAUUUCAUCAGUGUUAACUGUAGAACUCAGAUUCCCCUCACUAGUCACUUCAGCAAAGCCUGAAUAAGCAACAAAAUAUAUUUUAGAAAGAAUCUUGCAAGAUUCAAACAAGAUACAAUAUAGAUUACCUCUGAUAUCAUCUUUUGAUCCCUCAUUCCUGUCACGAAGUGAAUUGUGUAACCCUCCACUGCUUUUGUUUUUCCCCAGCCAUAUAUCUCCAAGUACAGCCUCUUCCUCUGCAUCAGGUGCAACAAAAGACAAUGGCUUAAUAGCAACUUCUGUUGUUACUGAGGGUACAUUCUCCAUCCCAUCAGGGAUGGUAUUAAAACUUUGAAGAGUUUGUUGCCUUCGGUAAAUGUCCAGAAAUUUUCCCCUUGGAUAGCAGUAUGAUUGAUUCUUAUCCAAAGGAAUAGAUCCAAUAGCAGAAGCAGAAGGAUGACUUCCAAUUGAUUUGCCCCCAUUACUAUUUGACCUUCCUCUUCCUGCAGCAAAUCGAAUAUUUGAUGCUUCCAUGCGUCCUCUUUCUGGCCCAAAUCCUGGUGCACUUCGCAUUCCACCAGAAUUAACUUCCAUGCGAUGGCGAGGCCUCCACUUCUCUCGAGAGUCAUUCUCUCGCUCCAAAGUUGUGUAGCUUCCAGUAACAAAAGAUUGCUUGUCUGUGUAAGUAUCUUCCUUCUCAACAUCUGUCCUCUUCUCAUUCCAAGAAUCCUUCUCUUUUUCUUCAGGACCCCACCUUGAUGACCAUUUGCUGUCUCUCCAAGAUUCAUGCCCAGAAUUACGGCUAUUACUAUCAUGCCAACGAUCUGAAGAAGACAAUACUCUGCUCUCAGCUAUGUCCCUUGUUGAUAUGGCAUCAGCACGACGAUCUUCUCUCCUACGAUCUCUUCUACCCAGUAAACUUGUCUCUCUCUCCUCUUCACGCCAACAACGGCUGCUUUCUACAUCAGCUGAAAUUUUCCUCCAGUCUUUUUUAUCCUGGCCAUCUAAUUGCCAACUAUCUUUCAAAUUGUUGUCAAGGCAGUUCCCCUGGGACAGAGAAUUAGGUGCACGCAUUUCCUUUCAAUUUUUUAAAAUCCAAGGAAUCAUAAAUGUGAACAAUAGAAUAAAUAUUAACAAUUAAAUGUUGGCAAUCUAGACUAUUUGUAAUUAAACCUGGUCAAUCAUAAGUGAGUCUGUCAAGAGGUCAAAAAGAGUCCAAUACACCGAAAAGACAAAAAAAUCUAGUCACCAAACUAAGGAGUAAGGACUAGUGUCAAGCAAAGAGGCCUAAUUCUUGCUAAUAAAUAAGGUCAUUUCCCAUUAAAGAACUAAGUGGUUGUACUUCUUCCCACCUUCAAUAAGUUUGGGAUUACUCAAAACCAAAAAUCCAUUUUUAACAAUCCCCUUCACUAAAGUUUAUUGUUAUAAAUCAUACAUCUUCAAUCACAUCAAUCUCUAAAUGCUCCACACAUAACAAGCAUAACACAAUUUGUCAGUGGCUACAACUACAACUAGGAUACAUGGUUCUGAAUAUCAACAACAAGAGAUGGUUUCUUUUUUCUUUCCAUUUUGGUGUGGGGAUUGUUUUGGCGGGGCGGGGGUGUGUGGAGAAGGGGGCUUAAAAAGAGGCCAAAAUAAUGCAAAUGCAAUGCUGCAUGAAGAGAAACAGUAGAGCCAACAAACAUGGCAUCAAGAAUCUAAAAUUUUAUGAACACUAACAAACAAAAUCCUACAUAUUCACCAGAAACAUGUUAACAGAUACAGAAAUAAAGAUAUUUACAACAAAUUAGAUAUUUUCAAGUUCAUUAGAAGCAACUGAAAGCAUGAUAAGUUGAUGCACUCUGAAUAAGGACUGUAUAUCAGUCUAACCAUGAGAAUUUGAAUUUAGUGGAGAAAUCAUUGUUUACAAGUAAUCCUCAUUCUCCUCCAAAUAAACUUGAACUUCGUAAUAUAGAAGAGGAAAUUCUUCUCCACACUUAACCCAAAAUACAAAUUAAAAAACCACUAUCUUAAAGAUGAAGUCACAGACAAUAAACUACAUUUUAACUUUGAAGACUAGGGUAUAAAAUUAACACAGACAAAAAAAAAUUAUAAUGAUUAACAAGCAAAGAAAGCCAGUAAAAUGGAGCACCAUCGCAUUACAUAAUCCAACAAAAACUAUAAAAUAAGGGUUAAAAUGAUCAACGUGUAAAAUAUUGAAUAGAAAUAUGUCCACUGAAAACCAGUAAAAAAAUAUAAUAGGACUAACUUGUCGACAAAAAAGUAAAAAGGGACUAGUCAAGAGAUGUGUCCAACUAUGCAAGAGUUUAAUUUUUUACCCCUGAUGCUCCAGCAGUUGGUAUCUUAGCAUCAACAGGUUUAGUAUAAAGCCAUUGUGGAGAAAGAGGUAUGCCGCUAUCUGAAAUUACUUGAUCUUUUGACUCAUCAAGCAAACUCAUCAGUGGCUUGUCCUCACCAAUUCCUCCACCCCAGGCUUCAUCUUUGGCGUUGGAUGUGUGUUCAUCAGGGAACUUGGAUGAGAUGAGAUCGUCAGGCAGAGUAAGCUUCCCGUCAGCCAUUGAAGCAACAGGUCAACAGCAGAAACGAAGUAGAUUGGAGGUGGACACGAACAGAGAGAGAGCGAGAGGGAGAGAGAUUUGAUUGGGGAAGAGGUCGCAGAGAAACAAGAUGGUGCAGAGGUGAUUUGCUAGGGUUUGGGAUUCGCGUAGAGAGAGAGAGGACGCCGAUAGAUUAGGAUCUGAGAAUUGCAGAAAAACUCAGAGAGGGAGAGAGGCAGGAGGGACACAAGAGAGGGCUGUGAGCUUUGGCUGUAUUGAUCACAACAGCCAAAGAGU